CUACGGGAGGCUCCAGUGGGGAAUAUUGCACAAUGGGCGCAAGCCUGAUGCAGCCAUGCCGCGUGUAUGAAGAAGGCCUUCGGGUUGUAAAGUACUUUCAGCGGGGAGGAAGGGAGUAAAGUUAAUACCUUUGCUCAUUGACGUUACCCGCAGAAGAAGCACCGGCUAACUCCGUGCCAGCAGCCGCGGUAAUACGGAGGGUGCAAGCGUUAAUCGGAAUUACUGGGCGUAAAGCGCACGCAGGCGGUUUGUUAAGUCAGAUGUGAAAGCCCCGGGCUCAACCUGGGAACUGCAUCUGAUACUGGCAAGCUUGAGUCUCGUAGAGGGGGGUAGAAUUCCAGGUGUAGCGGUGAAAUGCGUAGAGAUCUGGAGGAAUACCGGUGGCGAAGGCGGCCCCCUGGACGAAGACUGACGCUCAGGUGCGAAAGCGUGGGGAGCAAACAGGAUUAGAUACCCUCGUAGUC
Molecule: ribosomal RNA, 464 nt
Filed under: uncultured bacterium
Lineage: Bacteria
Description: partial 16S ribosomal RNA
Rfam family: Bacterial small subunit ribosomal RNA
Source: RNAcentral